CCUACGGGUGGCAGCAGUGAGGAAUAUUGGUCAAUGGACGAGAGUCUGAACCAGCCAAGUAGCGUGAAGGAUGACUGCCCUAUGGGUUGUAAACUUCUUUUAUAUGGGAAUAAAAGGGGGCUCGUGAGCCCCGUAUUGUAUGUACCAUCAGAAAAAGGACCGGCUAAUUCCGUGCCAGCAGCCGCGGUAAUACGGAAGGUCCGGGCGUUAUCCGGAUUUAUUGGGUUUAAAGGGAGCUUAGGCCGGCUUUUAAGUAAGCUGUGAAAGUCCGCGGCUCAACCGUGGAAGUGCAGUUGAAACUGGAGGCCUUGAGUGCACACAGGGAUGCCGGAAUUCAUGGUGUAGCGGUGAAAUGCUUAGAUAUCAUGAAGAACUCCGAUCGCGAAGGCAAGUGUCCGGGGUGCAACUGACGCUGAGGCUCGAAAGUGCGGGUAUCAAACAGGAUUAGAUACCCCAGUAGUC
This 462-nucleotide ribosomal RNA is filed under the name uncultured bacterium. RNAcentral's name for it is "partial 16S ribosomal RNA". It matches the Rfam family "Bacterial small subunit ribosomal RNA", at positions 338 to 795 of the family's 1533-position model. The record is from RNAcentral.